Molecule: long non-coding RNA, 755 nt
Filed under: Cyanistes caeruleus (blue tit)
Lineage: Eukaryota; Metazoa; Chordata; Aves; Passeriformes; Paridae
Description: lncRNA (ENSCCEG00000014328.1)
Source: RNAcentral
GCCCUGCCCUGCCCUGCCCGGCCCGGCCCUGCCCGCAGCGCCUCAGGGGGAACGCACCAACUGUGCAGCUCCAGGGCCGGCCCAAGCCCCUCCGCGAGCGCGGAAGCAACGCCACCCUACCAUAGGCGACCCCCGCCCCGGGAUGCUUCCCCCGAGGCGACUGCUCGCCUGCAGCUGCAGGCUCCCACCCAACCAAAUAAUUCUUGAUGCUGCAUGGAACCACACUGGUAUCACAAUCUUGCAAUACCUCCUGCACCAACUACUAUGCUUGUAAAUUUUGUUUAUCUGGGAAUUUUAAGUGGCAAGAGCAAGAAAUAUCAAGACAGGCAGCAUUUUAAAAAUCCCUCUAUAAAGUCACAAGCUUGCUUAGUUUAUUUUGAUGGAGGAUGAUGGUUUUAUUUUGCAGAAACAUAAGAAGGAAGCUGUGAGGGGCUGGAAGGAAGAUGCUGCCUUGCAAGAACCCAUCUGAACAGUGUCAUGUGCUGCACAAAGAGGUCCUGCUGCAGAUUUCUGCUCUCACCAACACCAGCAGUCAAGGGCUCCUGCAGUCUCACAGGAUGUUCCCUGAGCUUUGCCAAAUGACUGAACAUCCCACAGUGACCUGGACAUGGAAAAUUUCGUCCUCUUGUAGAAAAAUCCUAUUGAUGUUCUUCAGAUUUAGUACAGUACCAAGAUCCCCUGUCUGUUGGCCUAACAAGCAGAUUUAAUUCAGCUCUCCAAGCAGGGAGCCCUGCAGAAAAAAAAAUGUCCUUCAG